GACGAACGCUGGCGGCGUGCCUAAUACAUGCCAGUUGAGCGCUGAAGGUUGGUACUUGUACCAACUGGAUGAGCAGCGAACGGGUGAGUAACGCGUGGGGAAUCUGCCUUUGAGCGGGGGACAACAUUUGGAAACGAAUGCUAAUACCGCAUAAAAACUUUAAACACAAGUUUUAAGUUUGAAAGAUGCAAUUGCAUCACUCAAAGAUGAUCUCGCGUUGUAUUAGCUAGUUGGUGAGGUAAAGGCUCACCAAGGCGAUGAUACAUAGCCGACCUGAGAGGGUGAUCGGCCACAUUGGGACGGAGACACGGCCCAAAGUCCUACAGGAGGCAGCAGGAGGGAAUCGUCGGCAAGGGACGAAAGUCUGACCGAGCAACGCCGAGUGAGUGAAGAAGGUUGUCGGAUCGUAAAACUCUGUUGGUAGGGAAGAACGUGGGUGAGAGCGGAAAGCUCAUCAAGUGACGGUAACUACCCAGAAAGGGACGGCUAACUACGUG
Molecule: ribosomal RNA, 497 nt
Filed under: uncultured bacterium
Lineage: Bacteria
Description: partial 16S ribosomal RNA
Rfam family: Bacterial small subunit ribosomal RNA
Source: RNAcentral